This 526-nucleotide long non-coding RNA is filed under the name Trifolium pratense (red clover). RNAcentral's name for it is "long non-coding RNA (TPRA_LNC006016)". Lineage: Eukaryota; Viridiplantae; Streptophyta; Magnoliopsida; Fabales; Fabaceae. The record is from RNAcentral.
UCCUUUUAUAUUCAUAAAAUCCCUACUUCAAACAAGCAAAAGUCACGGUUCAUCACUCAAUGACCACCUUUCAACUUUCUAUCUAAACGAUAUUUUCAAGAUCGUAUCUAUGAACCUAUCUACGCAUCCUAUCACACACACAAUCGUACUUCAGUGCCAUUCAAAAAAACAAAAUACGGUACUUAAGUAACCAGCUAAAUUCAUAUCACACACUCAAAGAUAAGCAACAAGAGUAAACGAUUUUUAGCAGAAAAAGUAAUAACAAUGAUAUAUUCAGUUUAAUUGCAAAUCGAGCAUGAAUAAUAAAAAAUUGCGAUUCUAGAUUGAAAAACGGAAGGAAAUAGAGUGGGGAAAAUGUAAUCAAACCCUAGAACUGCUCCAAUACUUCUUGUCCCAAGGUCCAUUGUAGAGUGAACCGAUUGAGAUAACUUCGAGGUUAUCGUCAUUUUCCGGUUCGGAAUCUGUAGGUGCGGCGGUUCUAGUCCUCACCAUCGAAGAAGAAGAAGAAGAGAGAGAAAAUGGGAGA